Small nucleolar RNA from Molossus molossus (Pallas's mastiff bat), 127 nucleotides. RefSeq annotates it as small nucleolar RNA SNORA14. The record is from RefSeq and is a predicted model, not a curated record. The transcript has a single exon. Lineage: Eukaryota; Metazoa; Chordata; Mammalia; Chiroptera; Molossidae.
CUGCAUUCUCCAACCCUCCCGCGGCUCCCCCGUGCCCCCGGGACACGAGCGAAUGCUACAGAACCGCGGGCGAGUCCAAAGGCCGCCGUCGGCCCUGGCGCGGCCUCAUUUCGCGCCCGCGACACGU